This 725-nucleotide ribosomal RNA is filed under the name Leuconostoc mesenteroides. RNAcentral's name for it is "bacterial SSU rRNA". It matches the Rfam family "Bacterial small subunit ribosomal RNA", at positions 743 to 1459 of the family's 1533-position model. Lineage: Bacteria; Bacillati; Bacillota; Bacilli; Lactobacillales; Lactobacillaceae. The record is from RNAcentral.
AUGCAGAGACAGAACAGUGAGGGUCGCACACAGGAGGUGAUCCUCUGGUAGUCCACACCGUUAACGAUGAACACUAGGAGUUAGGAGGUUUCCGCCUCUUAGUGCCGAAGCUAACGCACUAAGUGUUCCCCCUGGGGAGUACGACCGCAAGGUUGAAACUCAAAGGAAUUGACGGGGAACCCGCACAAGCGGUGGAGCAUGUGGUUUAAUUCGAAGCAACGCGAAGAAACCCUUUCCAGGUCCUUGACAUCCUUUGAAGCUUUUAGAGAUAGAAGUGUUCUCUUCGGAGGCCAAAGUGACAGGUGGUGCAUGGUCGUCGUCAGCUCGUGUCGUGAGAUGUUGGGUUUAAGUCCCGCAACGAGCGCAACCCUUAUGUUUAGUUUCCAGCAUUCAGAUGGGCACUCUUGCGGGGACUUCCGGGGACAAAACCGGAGGAAAGGCGGGGGCGGCGUCAGAUCAACAUGCCCCUUAUGGUCUUGGCUUCGCCCGUGCUACAAUGGCGUAUACAACGAGUUGCCAACCCGCGAGGGUGAGCUAAUCUCUUAAAGUACGUCUCAGUUCGGAUUGUAGUCUGCAACUCGACUACAUGAAGUCGGAAUCGCUAGUAAUCGCGGAUCAGCACGCCGCGGUGAAUACGUUCCCGGGUCUUGUACACACCGCCCGUCACACCAUGGGAGUUUGUAAUGCCCAAAGCCGGUACCUAACCUCUAGGAAGGAGCCUUGUU